Long non-coding RNA from Lolium rigidum, 338 nucleotides. RefSeq lists it as uncharacterized. The transcript is spliced from 3 exons. The record is from RefSeq and is a predicted model, not a curated record. NCBI's taxonomy places the organism in Eukaryota, Viridiplantae, Streptophyta, Magnoliopsida, Poales, Poaceae.
CGGCGGCUCAUGCAGCAUUUUGUUUGGCCUUGGUUUGUCAAGUUUAAGGAGGAUGACGGCGUGUGGCACAUUGUAUUCCUCCGACAGCUCUUCUCCUUUGGUUACUUGAUUUGUAAAUGAGGAGCCGGUCAUUUUAGUACAGAGAGAUGACGGCUUGAGAUAUGGGCCCAGCACCAUCAUUGGCCGCAAGAAUUUGCUCCCUAGAAGCGGAAAUGUCAACAUGCAUAUUUUCCCAUCACGUGACGAAUUGAUAAAAGCACAAUAUUUUGGAUGUCCAUGCAAUCCAACAAUUGAAUGCACUAUUUUGCUCACCCAUGAGAAGCAACCAAAGAUCAUAC